Molecule: ribosomal RNA, 253 nt
Filed under: uncultured bacterium
Lineage: Bacteria
Description: partial 16S ribosomal RNA
Rfam family: Bacterial small subunit ribosomal RNA
Source: RNAcentral
UACGGAGGAUUCAAGCGUUAUCCGGAUUUAUUGGGUUUAAAGGGUGCGUAGGCGGUCGGAUAAGUUAGAGGUGAAAUCCCGGGGCUCAACUUCGGAAUUGCCUCUGAUACUGUUCGGCUAGAGAGUAGUUGCGGUAGGCGGAAUGUAUGGUGUAGCGGUGAAAUGCUUAGAGAUCAUACAGAACACCGAUUGCGAAGGCAGCUUACCAAGCUACUUCUGACGUUGAGGCACGAAGGCGUGGGGAGCAAACAGG